UACGUAGGCAGCAAGCGUUGUUCGGAGUUACUGGGCGUAAAGGGUGUGUAGGCGGUUGGAUAAGUGUGGUGUGAAAUCUCCCGGCUUAACUGGGAGGGUGCGCUACAAACUGUCUGACUAGAGUGUGGGAUGGGAGAGUGGAAUUCCUGGUGUAGCGGUGAAAUGCGUAGAUAUCAGGAGGAACACCGGUGGUGUAGACGGCUCUCUGGACCAUAACUGACGCUGAGACGCGAAAGCCAGGGGAGCGAACGGG
Molecule: ribosomal RNA, 253 nt
Filed under: uncultured bacterium
Lineage: Bacteria
Description: partial 16S ribosomal RNA
Rfam family: Bacterial small subunit ribosomal RNA
Source: RNAcentral